GACGGACGCUGGCGGCGUGCUUAACACAUGCAAGUCGAACGGAAAGGCCCCAGCUUGUUGGGGUAUUAGCGUGGCGCACGGGUGAGUAACCUGUGGGUGAUCUGCCCUGCACUCUGGGAUAAGCCUGGGCAACUGGGUCUAAUACCGGCUAGGACCGUGCUUUAGUGUGUGCGGUGGAAAGUUUUUCGGUGCAGGAUGAGCCCGCGGCCUAUCGGCUUGUUGGUGGGGUAAUGGCCUACCAAGGCGGCGACGGGUAGCCGGCCUGGGAGGGUGUACGGCCACAUUGGUACUGCGACACGGCCCAGAGUCCAACAGGGGACAGCAGUGGGAAAUAUGGCACAAUGGUCGCGAGCGUGAUGCAGCGACGCCGCGUGGGUGAUGACGGCCUUCUGGUUGGAAACCCCUGUCGGCAGGGACGAAGCUUUUGUGACGUUACCUGCAUAAGAAGCACCGGCUAACUACGUG
This 465-nucleotide ribosomal RNA is filed under the name uncultured bacterium. Its description in RNAcentral is "partial 16S ribosomal RNA". It matches the Rfam family "Bacterial small subunit ribosomal RNA", at positions 28 to 507 of the family's 1533-position model. The record is from RNAcentral.